UAGGGUUAGAUUUGGAGAAAGCUGUGUCCC
Molecule: non-coding RNA, 30 nt
Filed under: Mus musculus (house mouse)
Lineage: Eukaryota; Metazoa; Chordata; Mammalia; Rodentia; Muridae
Source: RNAcentral